UACGUAGGUGGCAAGCGUUAUCCGGAAUUACUGGGCGUAAAGGGUGCGUAGGUGGUUUCUUAAGUCAGAGGUGAAAGGCUACGGCUCAACCGUAGUAAGCCUUUGAAACUGGGAAACUUGAGUGCAGGAGAGGAGAGUGGAAUUCCUAGUGUAGCGGUGAAAUGCGUAGAUAUUAGGAGGAACACCAGUUGCGAAGGCGGCUCUCUGGACUGUAACUGACACUGAGGCACGAAAGCGUGGGGAGCAAACAGGAUUAGAUACCCGCGUAGUCCCUGAG
RNAcentral lists this ribosomal RNA (277 nucleotides) under uncultured prokaryote. Its description in RNAcentral is "partial 16S ribosomal RNA". It matches the Rfam family "Bacterial small subunit ribosomal RNA", at positions 524 to 801 of the family's 1533-position model. The record is from RNAcentral.